UAGCACGACCCGUGUUGGCUC
This 21-nucleotide microRNA is filed under the name Tribolium castaneum (red flour beetle). Its description in RNAcentral is "tca-miR-3851g-2-3p". The record is from miRBase by way of RNAcentral. Lineage: Eukaryota; Metazoa; Arthropoda; Insecta; Coleoptera; Tenebrionidae.